AAUCAAUCUCCUAUUUUCAGGGCUAACCAUUUGCCCUAAUGAAAAUAAUAAUAUUCUAAAAAUACCCUCAUUUGAAUUAAUGCAUAUAAAUGUAAAAAUAAAUAAAUAAACUCAUCACUGUCAGUGCUCCCCCGUCAUGUGGUCAUCGUUUGUGGAGCAAUAGCUAGUCACCGAUCAGUUGUGUCAUAGGCAGUAAUGGUCACGGGUAGUAGCCAUUGCAUCGUGAAGUCAAACCACCACCACCAACAACCGUCGCAUUCCGACUGAUGAUGAUGAUGCUGACAAUGAUGUUGUUGUUCUUGAUGAUGAUUAUCAUUAUAAAUGAUAAAAAAAAACAUAAUAAUUAAUUAAUAUUAAAGUUAACAAUAAAAUUGUUAUUAACAAUAAUUAUCAAUAACAUUAUUAUUUAAAUAAUAAUAAUAAUAACAAGAAUUAAAAUACAAAAUAACAAUUAUGACAAUAAUUAAUUAACGAUUUUUUUAAUAAUCUGUAAUAAUCUAACUCAUUCUAAUUUCUACAACUUAAAUAAUUUAUUCUAAUUUCCAUUGACAUUCAGAUUCAAGUUCGUUCCAAUUCCAACCAUACCAUUAAGAUAGAAUCGAAAUGGUCAUAUUUAUUUUUUAAAUAUUUUUAAGAAAUUUAAUUUCAUUAAUAUCCACAAAAGACUCGAAUCCUUUUCCCUUUGUAUAGACUACAGUGUUCUCUAUGAAACACUAUUUUAAAAUAAAUAAUUCCGGUUGAUAUGAUUUAUGUUGGAGUAAUAUUAUCAAAUAAAAUAAAAUAAAAAAUAAAAAUAAAGAAAGAAAGAAGUAGAGAUAAGCAUGAAGCCACGAACCUUAUACUAAGAGAAAGAAAUUAAUAUUGUUGAUUUCAUGAGAGAAUCAACCCAUCCUCAUCCAUUUCAUCCCGUCAGCAAUUAAAAUAUCUAUG
RNAcentral lists this long non-coding RNA (930 nucleotides) under Citrus x clementina. Its description in RNAcentral is "Citrus clementina (C. clementina) long non-coding RNA (CCLE_LNC004588)". The record is from RNAcentral. Lineage: Eukaryota; Viridiplantae; Streptophyta; Magnoliopsida; Sapindales; Rutaceae.